Molecule: ribosomal RNA, 465 nt
Filed under: uncultured Klebsiella sp.
Lineage: Bacteria; Pseudomonadati; Pseudomonadota; Gammaproteobacteria; Enterobacterales; Enterobacteriaceae
Description: bacterial SSU rRNA
Rfam family: Bacterial small subunit ribosomal RNA
Source: RNAcentral
CCUACGGGUGGCAGCAGUGGGGAAUAUUGCACAAUGGGCGCAAGCCUGAUGCAGCCAUGCCGCGUGUGUGAAUAAGGCCUUCGGGUUGUAAAGCACUUUCAGCGGGGAGGAAGGCGGUGAGGUUAAUAACCUCAUCGAUUGACAUUACCCGCAGAAGAAGCACCGGCUAACUCCGUGCCAGCAGCCGCGGUAAUACGGAGGGUGCAAGCGUUAAUCGGAAUUACUGGGCGUAAAGCGCACGCAGGCGGUCUGUCAAGUCGGAUGUGAAAUCCCCGGGCUCAACCUGGGAACUGCAUUCGAAACUGGCAGGCUAGAGUCUUGUAGAGGGGGGUAGAAUUCCAGGUGUAGCGGUGAAAUGCGUAGAGAUCUGGAGGAAUACCGGUGGCGAAGGCGGCCCCCUGGACAAAGACUGACGCUCAGGUGCGAAAGCGUGGGGAGCAAACAGGAUUAGAUACCCGUGUAGUC